GGGAGCCGCGGCCGGCCGGCACAGCCGUCAGGGAACCGCAGAACGCCCACACGGAGGAGAAAAUCAUGCAGUGGUGAUAAAGCGACUGUAUGAAGUCAUAGAGGUACUGCCUCGUAAUAAGCACAUUGUUGGAGGCGAAACAUCCUUGAGCAUCCCACGGAUACAGUGCCUAUUCUUGGGAUCCUCGCCCCCUCCCUCUGCGUGGAAGCCAUCUCCUCACAGCCUCACUGGCAGCCCAAGCUCGCGCAGUACAGCAAACAAUCAGUUCCUAUUCAGUGGCUUUGUGCCACUUCAGAUCCAGUAUUUGGUUUAAAUCAUCUCUCCAGGUUGAAGAGUUCCAGCCUGCUCAGCCAUUGCUGCAAUGGCAGCUCUGCUCUGCUUUUGAUUAUCAAAAAUGUUUUUUGUUAUAGUCACCAGCCCCAGGCCCUCCCCACUUCCUAGAUAACUUCUCCAAGAAUCACGGAAUUGUUAAGGCUGGAAAAGACAUCUAAGACCAUUAAGUUCAACCAUCUACCCAGCUCCAGCACCAUGCUCACCACUAACCCAUGUCCUCAGGUGCCACAUUCAGGGAUGGAGAUUCCACCUCUGCCCUGUGUCAGGGCCUGACAACCCCUCCUGUGAAGAAAUGUCUUGAAGACAAGAGAAAGAGAAAUGCAUGCCAUCUGUAUCCUGAGUGCAGUGGUCCAUGAAAACUAUGGGAAUUGAAGUCUUCAGUCCUAGAAGGGAUUUCUCCCUGUUUGCACCUCACAGUUUAUUCCAAGAGGUAAUCUGGUGACCCCGUGGUUCUCUCCCUUCUCUACACUACAGGCACAGACAGCAUUUCAAACAACUUUUCCUAGCUUAAAACCCUUACUGACAAUCUUGAUUUGGGGCAAGAAUAACAAAAGGUGGCACAUGAGGUCUACAGACUUGCUAUCAGUGGCAUUAAACAUGGAGGAGAACUACUCCUGUGACCAUGGAGCAUUCAGCAAAGGUUAUGAGCAUUAUCUGUUACAGCACAAGUAUCUCUGCCUUUGAUUGGAGCUCCUUGACAGCUCACAGGACUCCUUCCUCCUCCAAACAUCCCAUCCUAUGCUUGGCAGUAAUUUGAUGCUUGCCCUUAGAAGUAAAUCCUUUGGGUUAAGAUAAAUAUUUAACCUGUAUUUUCCUUUUAUUUUACUUCUUGUUAUAACUUCACUUUGUGAUCUUCAUAGCAAAAGAUGAAGUA
This is a long non-coding RNA of Pyrgilauda ruficollis (rufous-necked snowfinch), 1207 nucleotides long. RefSeq lists it as uncharacterized. The record is from RefSeq and is a predicted model, not a curated record. NCBI's taxonomy places the organism in Eukaryota, Metazoa, Chordata, Aves, Passeriformes, Passeridae. The transcript is spliced from 4 exons.